RNAcentral lists this unclassified non-coding RNA (253 nucleotides) under fungal sp. RNAcentral's name for it is "partial internal transcribed spacer region". The stretch from base 1 to 46 matches the Rfam family "Eukaryotic small subunit ribosomal RNA", at positions 1786 to 1831 of the family's 1831-position model. The record is from RNAcentral. Lineage: Eukaryota; Fungi.
AAGUCGUAACAAGGUUUCCGUAGGUGAACCUGCGGAAGGAUCAUUAAUGAAAGUAAGGGCUUCGGCCCUCUCUCUUCUACACACUUGUGAACUUACCCUGUUGCUUUGGCAGGUCUCUCGACGGACUUUAAGUCCUGAAGGUUAGACUGAAAGGUGCCUGCCAAGGACACUUUAAAACCCUUUUUUUAUUGUCUGAACUUUUUGUUUAUAACAAAAUAUAAUAAAACUUUCAACAAUGGAUCUCUUGGCUCUG